GAUGAACGCUGGCGGCGUGCCUAAUACAUGCAAGUCGAGCGAACAGACGAGGAGCUUGCUCCUCUGACGUUAGCGGCGGACGGGUGAGUAACACGUGGAUAACCUACCUAUAAGACUGGGAUAACUUCGGGAAACCGGAGCUAAUACCGGAUAAUAUAUUGAACCGCAUGGUUCAAUAGUGAAAGACGGUUUUGCUGUCACUUAUAGAUGGAUCCGCGCCGCAUUAGCUAGUUGGUAAGGUAACGGCUUACCAAGGCGACGAUGCGUAGCCGACCUGAGAGGGUGAUCGGCCACACUGGAACUGAGACACGGUCCAGACUCCUACGGGAGGCAGCAGUAGGGAAUCUUCCGCAAUGGGCGAAGGCCUGACGGAGCAACGCCGCGUGAGUGAUGAAGGUCUUCGGAUUGUAAAACUCUGUUAUUAGGGAAGAACAAAUGUGUAAGUAACUAUGCACGUCUUGACGGUACCUAAUCAGAAAGCCACGGCUAACUACGUG
RNAcentral lists this ribosomal RNA (497 nucleotides) under uncultured bacterium. RNAcentral's name for it is "partial 16S ribosomal RNA". It matches the Rfam family "Bacterial small subunit ribosomal RNA", at positions 28 to 507 of the family's 1533-position model. The record is from RNAcentral.